RNAcentral lists this ribosomal RNA (494 nucleotides) under uncultured bacterium. Its description in RNAcentral is "partial 16S ribosomal RNA". It matches the Rfam family "Bacterial small subunit ribosomal RNA", at positions 28 to 523 of the family's 1533-position model. The record is from RNAcentral.
GAUGAACGCUGGCGGCGUGCUUAACACAUGCAAGUCGAACGGGAAACUUUUCAUUGAAGCUUCGGCAGAUUUGGUCUGUUUCUAGUGGCGGACGGGUGAGUAACGCGUGGGUAACCUGCCUUAUACAGGGGGAUAACAACCAGAAAUGGUUGCUAAUACCGCAUAAGCGCACAGGACCGCAUGGCCCGGUGUGAAAAACUCCGGUGGUAUAAGAUGGACCCGCGUUGGAUUAGCUAGUUGGCAGGGUAACGGCCUACCAAGGCGACGAUCCAUAGCCGGCCUGGGAGGGUGAACGGCCACAUUGGGACUGAGACACGGCCCAGACUCUUACGGGAGGCAGCAGUGGGGAAUAUUGCACAAUGGGGGAAGCCUUGAUGCAGCGACGCCGCGUGAAGGAGGAAGUAUCUCGGUAUGUAAACUUCUAUCAGCAGGGAAGAUAGUGACGGUACCUGACUAAGAAGCCCCGGCUAACUACGUGCCAGCCGCCGCAGUAA